AGAGUUUGAUCCUGGCUCAGAUUGAACGCUGGCGGCAUGCCUUACACAUGCAAGUCGAACGGCAGCACGGGUGCUUGCACCUGGUGGCGAGUGGCGAACGGGUGAGUAAUACAUCGGAACGUACCUUAUCGUGGGGGAUAACGCAGCGAAAGCUGUGCUAAUACCGCAUACGCCCUGAGGGGGAAAGCGGGGGAUCGAAAGACCUCGCGCGAUUAGAGCGGCCGAUGCCUGAUUAGCUUGUUGGUGGGGUAAAAGCCCACCAAGGCGACGAUCAGUAGCUGGUCUGAGAGGACGAUCAGCCACACUGGGACUGAGACACGGCCCAGACUCCUACGGGAGGCAGCAGUGGGGAAUUUUGGACAAUGGGGGAAACCCUGAUCCAGCAAUGCCGCGUGAGUGAAGAAGGCCUUCGGGUUGUAAAGCUCUUUUGUCAGGGAAGAAACACCGGCUCUAACACAGUCCGGGAAUGACGGUACCUGAAGAAUAUGCACCGGCUAACUACGUGCCAGCAGCCGCGGUAAUACGUAGGGUGCCAGCGUUAAUCGGAAUUACUGGGCGUAAAGCGUGCGCAGGCGGUUAUACAAGACAGGCGUGAAAUCCCCGGGCUUAACCUGGGAAUGGCGCCUGUGACUGUAUAAGCUAGAAUGUGU
Molecule: ribosomal RNA, 650 nt
Filed under: uncultured bacterium FukuS36
Lineage: Bacteria; Pseudomonadati; Pseudomonadota; Betaproteobacteria
Description: bacterial SSU rRNA
Rfam family: Bacterial small subunit ribosomal RNA
Source: RNAcentral